GCCGUGGUCGCUUGGACCUUCUCAAGAAGGUCCUCAAUGAUCGCUUCUGCUCGUGUAUCUGCUGUGAUGGCUCCUCCCUCAUAUCAGUGGAUGUCUGCUGGUUAUACUAUUCAGGAAUAACUGAUGCUGUCAGAGCAUCUGCGGGCUAAGUGACUCCCUCAUCUGGAUAUAAGGAUGGGCCUGCAAAGAAAGUUUCAUACUCAUGUAGCCAACUAAAAAUCGAUGAUGUCAUCUCGGGCAUAUAGGAAGAAGAAGGCCCUGCCAU
RNAcentral lists this long non-coding RNA (265 nucleotides) under Elaeis guineensis (African oil palm). Its description in RNAcentral is "long non-coding RNA (EGUI_LNC076226)". The record is from RNAcentral. Lineage: Eukaryota; Viridiplantae; Streptophyta; Magnoliopsida; Arecales; Arecaceae.